Long non-coding RNA from Helianthus annuus (common sunflower), 1718 nucleotides. RefSeq lists it as uncharacterized. The record is from RefSeq and is a predicted model, not a curated record. The transcript is spliced from 2 exons. NCBI's taxonomy places the organism in Eukaryota, Viridiplantae, Streptophyta, Magnoliopsida, Asterales, Asteraceae.
AUACUAUAUGGUUGUUAUGUUUUAUUAUUUAUUGGGCUUGUAUCUCUGUCACUAGAGCUUCAUAUCAGUUGGGCCAGUUUGUUACGCAUGUUGUUACAAGUUGUUACAAGGCCUUUGUAUGCAGAUAUUUUGAAGGGUGUUGUUUUUGUAAGUGGCAAACCUGUAGGUGCUGGAUGGAAGUGUUCAAGGGUGCAAUCUGUAACUUGUUCGCUCCUUGUGUUCUAGGGUUUGCGGAUCUGACUGUUGUGGAUCUAGAUCGUCUUGAUCUUGGAAUUUGAAGGUAUGCAUUAGUCUUUGUAGCCCUAGAAGGUUACAAGGCAAACUAACUGGGUGUUUGUGAUAUUUGCAUCUUUUGAUCUCAUUUUAUAACCUUAGAAGGUUAUUAAUCAGAUCUGCUUAAGGAGGGAGUUAAACACUUCUGUAAGCUUGUUCUAUUUUUUUUUAGCUUUUGUUGUUGGUUUAGUUCCGGGGUAGAGAGGACUGAUUUUAUUGUGUGUCUAUCUGUUAUGUAUCUUUUGUUGAUCUAGUUGAUACCGGGGUAGUGAGGACCGGUUUAUCUUUGUGUCUAUUUGUUGUGUAUUGUUCUGUGAUACUUGAUGGUUGUUCUUGUUUUUUGUUUUUCGGCUCCCGAGUAAAGUCUUGUCCAGGCACCAUAGAGUGACGAUCCUGGAAUCUGGUCCCUGACUCAGCUUCGCCCUAGGGUUUCUGUUAUUCUGUUGAUUGUUUGUUUAUUACUUAUGACUAUCUGUUGUUUCCGGUUGUUGUUAAUUGCUUGUCUUUGUUUGCUAUUUCUUGUUACUGGUCAAGAUGGGUGAUAGUGGUAGUACUUCACAAACACUUAUUAGUAAACUGGAUAUAGCUGAUCCGUUAUAUCUUCAUCCUAGUGAUUCUAGUGCCUUAACUAUUGUUAGUAUUAAGCUAAAAGGUACUGAAAAUUAUUCUGUUUUGUCUAGUGCCAUGAAAUUGGCUUUAGAAGCCAAAAAUAAAUUUGGUUUCAUAGGUGGCAAGUGUGAAAGAUCCACUGUUGAUCAUGUAUUAGCAAGUCAGUGGGAUAGAUGCAACUCUGUGGUCUUAACAAGGUUAUUAAACUCUGUGUUGAUGAACUGUUUUUAGCUCAAGUGUUUUCUAAAUUUGCCUCAGAAGUGCGGGAUGAUCUUAGGGAAACCUAUGACAAGGUAGAUGGUUCUGUUGUCUAUGACCUAUAUAAAAAAAUUAAUUGUAUCUCACAAAAUGGAAGUACAGCUGCAGAUUAUUAUAACCGGUUAACUACCAUGUGGAAGCAGUUUGAUGCUAUGCUCAAACUACCUACAUGUUCUUGUAAAGCUGCUAGAGACUAUAAUGAUUUUUCUAUGUUAAUAAAACUAAUGCGGUUUCUCAUGAGGCUUGAUAAUGUUUAUCAGCCAGUGAGAACAAACUUGUUGACAAGAGAAUCAUUUCCAUCUGUCAAGGUUGCCUUUUCUGUUGUAUCCAGCGAAGAGUCUCACAGAAUGUCUAGUGGAGGUGUUAAAAGUGAGAAUGUUUCUUUUGUGUCUAAAUCUGGCCAGUCUUUUGAUUCUAGGAGGAAAAAUACUAGAGGAGCUAAUCCUAACUUGAAGUGUACUCAAUGUAAUAUGUUGGGUCAUACUGUUGACAUAUUUUUUGAGUUGAUUGGUUAUCCUCCUAGAGAAGAUUUUAAUUGUUUUAAUAUUUACAAUGAAUUAUAUUCUUAUUUAAUUUUA